This 74-nucleotide transfer RNA is filed under the name Pterocladiophila hemisphaerica. RNAcentral describes it as "tRNA-Gln". It matches the Rfam family "tRNA". From Rfam's summary of the family: Transfer RNA (tRNA) molecules are approximately 80 nucleotides in length. Their secondary structure includes four short double-helical elements and three loops (D, anti-codon, and T loops). Lineage: Eukaryota; Rhodophyta; Florideophyceae; Gracilariales; Pterocladiophilaceae. The record is from RNAcentral.
UUGAGAUAUCGCCAAGUGGUAAGGCAAUGGACUUUGACUCUGUUAUUCAUAGGUUCGAAUCCUAUUAUCUCAGG